UACAGAGGUCUCAAGCGUUGUUCGGAUUCAUUGGGCGUAAAGGGUGCGUAGGUGGCGCCAUAAGUCAGGUGUGAAAUCUCGGGGCUCAACUCCGAAACUGCACUUGAUACUGUGGUGCUCGAGUACUGGAGAGGAGAUUGGAAUUUACGGUGUAGCAGUGAAAUGCGUAGAUAUCGUAAGGAAGACCAGUGGCGAAGGCGAAUCUCUGGACAGUUACUGACACUGAGGCACGAAGGCCAGGGGAGCGAACGGG
This 253-nucleotide ribosomal RNA is filed under the name uncultured bacterium. RNAcentral describes it as "partial 16S ribosomal RNA". It matches the Rfam family "Bacterial small subunit ribosomal RNA", at positions 524 to 776 of the family's 1533-position model. The record is from RNAcentral.